RNAcentral lists this ribosomal RNA (625 nucleotides) under Vreelandella aquamarina. RNAcentral describes it as "bacterial SSU rRNA". It matches the Rfam family "Bacterial small subunit ribosomal RNA", at positions 84 to 705 of the family's 1533-position model. Lineage: Bacteria; Pseudomonadati; Pseudomonadota; Gammaproteobacteria; Oceanospirillales; Halomonadaceae. The record is from RNAcentral.
GAUGCUGACGAGCGGCGGACGGGAGAGUAAUGCAUAGGAAUCUGCCCGAUAGUGGGGGAUAACCUGGGGAAACCCAGGCUAAUACCGCAUACGUCCUACGGGAGAAAGGGGGCUCCGGCUCCCGCUAUGGGAUGAGCCUAUGUCGGAUUAGCUAGUUGGUGAGGUAACGGCUCACCAAGGCCGCGAUCCGUAGCUGGUCUGAGAGGAUGAUCAGCCACAUCGGGACUGAGACACGGCCCGAACUCCUACGGGAGGCAGCAGUGGGGAAUAUUGGACAAUGGGCGCAAGCCUGAUCCAGCCAUGCCGCGUGUGUGAAGAAGGCCCUCGGGUUGUAAAGCACUUUCAGCGAGGAAGAACGCCUAGCGGUUAAUACCCGCUAGGAAAGACAUCACUCGCAGAAGAAGCACCGGCUAACUCCGUGCCAGCAGCCGCGGUAAUACGGAGGGUGCAAGCGUUAAUCGGAAUUUACUGGGCGUAAAGCGCGCGUAGGUGGCUUGAUAAGCCGGUUGUGAAAGCCCCGGGCUCAACCUGGGAACGGCAUCCGGAAACUGUCAAGCUAGAGUGCAGGAAAGGAAGGUAGAAUUUCCCGGGUGUAGCGGUGAAAUGGCGUAGAGAUCGGGGAGGA